AAGCAGAUCAAAGAAAGUCCACUAACAGUGCAACAUUAAAGGGGAAAGAUUUGAACGCUAAGAUCUCAAAUAAAAGCAUAAGAAAGACAAUUGAGGAUGUAUGUGAUGAAUUAAUGGAGAUGAGGAAGGAAAAGAAGACACUUGAAGCCAAAAUUAAGAAAGCUGAGAAAAUAUCAGGAGCAAUAAGAAAAGAGAUAAGGUCUUGGGCGAAGCAGUCGAAAGAUAAACAACACAGAAAGGAGGCAUAUUUCUGCAUGCUUGACCAGAGAAGGAUUUAUAACGAGGAAUGUUGGGUCCUCCAAUAUCGUAACUUAGAAUCUGUCAAAAGUUGCAUGAUUUAUAUGGACAAGUCUUCUUCGACAUGGGCAGGCGGCUGCAGAAAUUGGAUAUUAAGUCACAAUAUCAAUUGUUUGUGAUUUCUUUUUCUUUUUCUUUUUUCUUAGAGUGAGAUGUGAUAUGUAACCAAAUGUUGGUCCCACACGCUUCACAUAGUUUGAAAAGAACCGCAUUGUUUACAAUUUUAUGAAAGGUGUAAUUUGGUUAUUGAUUUUGUAUAUUUUUCAUUGAUGGUGAUUGAUAUUGAUAUUGAUAUUUGUGACAUGUAAUAUUUAACUGGAGAAAGAAUGAUAUUAAGGAAAAAGUAA
This is a long non-coding RNA of Neltuma alba, 644 nucleotides long. RefSeq lists it as uncharacterized. NCBI's taxonomy places the organism in Eukaryota, Viridiplantae, Streptophyta, Magnoliopsida, Fabales, Fabaceae. The record is from RefSeq and is a predicted model, not a curated record. The transcript is spliced from 2 exons.